RNAcentral lists this transfer RNA (72 nucleotides) under Nanobdellota archaeon. RNAcentral's name for it is "tRNA-Val". It matches the Rfam family "tRNA". Rfam says of the family: Transfer RNA (tRNA) molecules are approximately 80 nucleotides in length. Lineage: Archaea; Nanobdellati; Nanobdellota. The record is from RNAcentral.
GGACCCGUGGUCUAUCGGUAUGACGCUACCCUUACAAGGUGGAGGCAGAGUGUUCGACUCACUCCGGGUCCA